AUUGAACGCUGGCGGCAGGCCUAACUCAUGCAAGUCGAACGGUAACAGGAAGCAGCUUGCUGCUUCGCUGACGAGUGGCGGACGGGUGAGUAAUGUCUGGUAAGCUUCCUGAUGGAGGGGGAUAACUACUGGAAACGGUAGCUAAUACCGCAUAAUGUCUCAAGACCAAAGAGGGGGACCUUCGGGCCUCUUUCCAUCGGAUGUGCCCAGAUGGUAUUAGCUUGUUGGUGGGGUAACGGCUCACCAAGGCGACGAUCCCUAGCUGGUCUGAGAGGAUGGCCAGCCACACUGGAACUGAGACACGGUCCAGACUCCCACGGGAGGCAGCAGUGGGGAAUAUUGAACAAUGGGCGCAAGCCUGAUGCAGCCAUGCAGCGUGUAUGAAGAAGGCCUUAGGGUUGUAAAGUACUUUCAGCGGGGAGGAAGGGAGUAAAGUUAAUAACUUUGCUCAUUGACGUUACCCGCAGAAGAAGCACCGGCUAACUCCGUG
RNAcentral lists this ribosomal RNA (490 nucleotides) under uncultured bacterium. RNAcentral describes it as "partial 16S ribosomal RNA". It matches the Rfam family "Bacterial small subunit ribosomal RNA", at positions 30 to 507 of the family's 1533-position model. The record is from RNAcentral.